This 561-nucleotide ribosomal RNA is filed under the name Nigrospora sp. RNAcentral's name for it is "partial large subunit ribosomal RNA". It matches the Rfam family "Eukaryotic large subunit ribosomal RNA", at positions 60 to 645 of the family's 3401-position model. The record is from RNAcentral. Lineage: Eukaryota; Fungi; Ascomycota; Sordariomycetes; Amphisphaeriales; Apiosporaceae.
AGAAACCAACAGGGAUUCCCCUAGUAACGGCGAGUGAAGCGGGAACAGCUCAAAUUUGAAAUCUGGCCCUUGGGUCCGAGUUGUAAUUUGUAGAGGAUGCUUUUGGUGCGGUGCCUUCCGAGUUCCCUGGAACGGGACGCCUUAGAGGGUGAGAGCCCCGUACGGUUGGACGCCUAGCCUCUGUAAAGCUCCUUCGACGAGUCGAGUAGUUUGGGAAUGCUGCUCUAAAUGGGAGGUAUAUUUCUUCUAAAGCUAAAUACUGGCCAGAGACCGAUAGCGCACAAGUAGAGUGAUCGAAAGAUGAAAAGCACUUUGAAAAGAGGGUUAAAUAGCACGUGAAAUUGUUGAAAGGGAAGCGUUUAUCACCAGACUUUUUCUGGGGGGAUCAUCCGGUGUUCUCACCGGUGCACUUCCCCCAGUUGAGGCCAGCAUCGGUUUUCGGAGGGGGAUAAAAGCUUCGGGAAUGUGACUCCCUCGGGAGUGUUAUAGCCCGUUGCAUAAUACCCUUCUGGGGACCGAGGUUCGCGCAUCUGCAAGGAUGCUGGCAUAAUGGUGAUCAAC